GAUGAAGAACGCAGCGAAAUGCGAUACUUGGUGUGAAUUGCAGAAUCCCGUGAACCAUCGAGUCUUUGAACGCAAGUUGUGCCCGAAGCCAUUAGGCCGAGGGCACGCCUGCCUGGGCGUCACACGUCGUUGCCCCCCCAUCUACUCCUUCGGGAUUGCGGGGGGCGGAUGAUGGCCUCCCGUGCGCCUCGUCGCGCGGUUGGCAUAAAUGCCAAGUCCUCGGCGACACACGCCACGACAAUCGGUGGUUGCGAAACCUCGGUUGCCCGUCGUGUGCGGUCGUCGCGCAUCGAGGGCUCGAAAAAAUUGCCGGGCUCCGGCUCGGCUUUCAACGCGACCCCAGGUCAGGCGGGGUUACCCGCUGAAUUUAAGCAUAUCAAUAAGCGGAGGA
Molecule: unclassified non-coding RNA, 391 nt
Filed under: soil metagenome
Description: partial contains 5.8S ribosomal RNA, internal transcribed spacer 2, and large subunit ribosomal RNA
Rfam family: 5.8S ribosomal RNA (bases 1-122)
Source: RNAcentral